This 484-nucleotide ribosomal RNA is filed under the name uncultured bacterium. RNAcentral's name for it is "partial 16S ribosomal RNA". It matches the Rfam family "Bacterial small subunit ribosomal RNA", at positions 29 to 507 of the family's 1533-position model. The record is from RNAcentral.
AUUGAACGCUGGCGGCAUGCUUUACACAUGCAAGUCGAACGGCAGCGCGGGCUUCGGCCUGGCGGCGAGUGGCGAACGGGUGAGUAAUGCAUCGGAACGUGCCCAGUAGUGGGGGAUAGCCCGGCGAAAGCCGGAUUAAUACCGCAUACGACCUGAGGGUGAAAGCGGGGGACCGAAAGGCCUCGCGCUAUUGGAGCGGCCGAUGUCGGAUUAGCUAGUUGGUGGGGUAAAGGCUUACCAAGGCGACGAUCCGUAGCGGGUCUGAGAGGACGACCAGCCACACUGGGACUGAGACACGGCCCAGACUCCUACGGGAGGCAGCAGUGGGGAAUUUUGGACAAAGGGGGCAACCCUGAUCCAGCCAUGCCGCGUGCGGGAAGAAGGCCUUCGGGUUGUAAACCGCUUUUGUUCGGGAAGAAAUCCUCUGGGCUAAUACCCCGGGGGGAUGACGGUACCGGAAGAAUAAGCACCGGCUAACUACGUG